RNAcentral lists this ribosomal RNA (497 nucleotides) under uncultured bacterium. RNAcentral describes it as "partial 16S ribosomal RNA". It matches the Rfam family "Bacterial small subunit ribosomal RNA", at positions 28 to 507 of the family's 1533-position model. The record is from RNAcentral.
GAUGAACGCUGGCGGCGUGCCUAAUACAUGCAAGUCGAGCGAACAGACGAGGAGCUUGCUCCUCUGACGUUAGCGGCGGACGGGUGAGUAACACGUGGAUAAUCUACCUAUAAGACUGGGAUAACUUCGGGAAACCGGAGCUAAUACCGGAUAAUAUAUUGAACCGCAUGGUUCAAUAGUGAAAGACGGUUUUGCUGUCACUUAUAGAUGGAUCCGCGCCGCAUUAGCUAGUUGGUAAGGUAACGGCUUACCAAGGCAACGAUGCGUAGCCGACCUGCGAGGGUGAUCGGCCACACGGGAACUGGAACACGGUCCAGACUCCUACGGGAGGCAGCAGUAGGGAAUCUUACGCAAUGGGCGAGAGCCUGACGGAGCGACGCCGCGUGAGUGAUGAAGAUCUUCGGAUCGUAAAACUCUGUUAUUAGGGAAGAACAAAUGUGUAAGUAACUAUGCACGUCUUGACGGUACCUAAUCAGAAAGCCACGGCUAACUACGUG